AGAGUUUGAUCCUGGCUCAGAUUGAACGCUGGCGGCAUGCCUUACACAUGCAAGUCGAACGGCAGCGCGGGGCAACCUGGCGGCGAGUGGCGAACGGGUGAGUAAUAUAUCGGAACGUGCCCUGGAGUGGGGGAUAACGCAGCGAAAGUUGCGCUAAUACCGCAUACGAUCUAAGGAUGAAAGCAGGGGACCGCAAGGCCUUGUGCUCCUGGAGCGGCCGAUAUCUGAUUAGCUAGUUGGUGGGGUAAAGGCCUACCAAGGCAUCGAUCAGUAGCUGGUCUGAGAGGACGACCAGCCACACUGGAACUGAGACACGGUCCAGACUCCUACGGGAGGCAGCAGUGGGGAAUUUUGGACAAUGGGCGCAAGCCUGAUCCAGCAAUGCCGCGUGAGUGAAGAAGGCCUUCGGGUUGUAAAGCUCUUUUGUCAGGGAAGAAACGGUGCGGGCUAAUAUCCCGCACUAAUGACGGACC
RNAcentral lists this ribosomal RNA (473 nucleotides) under uncultured soil bacterium. Its description in RNAcentral is "bacterial SSU rRNA". It matches the Rfam family "Bacterial small subunit ribosomal RNA", at positions 8 to 478 of the family's 1533-position model. The record is from RNAcentral.